RNAcentral lists this transfer RNA (83 nucleotides) under Gemmatimonadota bacterium. RNAcentral's name for it is "Gemmatimonadetes bacterium (activated sludge metagenome) tRNA-Ser". It matches the Rfam family "tRNA". Rfam says of the family: Transfer RNA (tRNA) molecules are approximately 80 nucleotides in length. Their secondary structure includes four short double-helical elements and three loops (D, anti-codon, and T loops). The record is from RNAcentral. Lineage: Bacteria; Pseudomonadati; Gemmatimonadota. RNAcentral also lists the same sequence under 2 other names.
GGAGGCGUAGUCUAACUGGUAAGGCACCGCACUCGAAAUGCGGCGGGCGCAAGCCCUUGGGGGUUCGAGUCCCUCCGCCUCCG